Abortiporus biennis is the source of this 105-nucleotide non-coding RNA. The record is from the annotation of a GenBank genome assembly. NCBI's taxonomy places the organism in Eukaryota, Fungi, Basidiomycota, Agaricomycetes, Polyporales, Podoscyphaceae.
GCUUGGAUGGCUCAGCUGGUUAGAGCGCAGGUCUCAUAGUUUCCUAUGAGCGUUGUUUGACAACGCGUAAUCCUGAGGUCGUGAGUUCGAUCCUCACUCCGAGCA